This 323-nucleotide ribosomal RNA is filed under the name uncultured eukaryote. Its description in RNAcentral is "partial 18S ribosomal RNA". It matches the Rfam family "Eukaryotic small subunit ribosomal RNA", at positions 1470 to 1796 of the family's 1831-position model. The record is from RNAcentral.
CCCUUAGAUGUUCUGGGCUGCACGCGUGCUACACUGAUAUUGCCAAUAUGUCAUUCUUAUCCGAAAUGGAUUGGGUAAUCAAGUAAUGAAAUUUCAUGCUUGGAAUCGGUAAUUGCAAUUUUAUCGUGAACGAGGAAUUCCUAGUAAGCACUAGUCAUCAGCUAAUGUUGAUUAUGUCCCUGCCCUUUGUACACACCGCCCGUCGCUACUACUGAUUGGGUGUUCAAGUGAGAUGCUUAGACCCUUGUUGCAUGGUUCAUUAUUGUGCUCCGAAAGGAACAAGUUUCAAGCUUGAGUGUCUAGAGGAAGUAAAAGUCGUAACA